AUUGAAAAAGGCAAACCUAUCGAAAGAUAGGGACGCAAAGCCAUAGGACCUUUCUUUCAAAAGAAUGGUAGCCUGGCCGCCAAUU
Molecule: non-coding RNA, 85 nt
Filed under: Natranaerobius trueperi
Lineage: Bacteria; Bacillati; Bacillota; Clostridia; Natranaerobiales; Natranaerobiaceae
Description: c-di-GMP sequence
Rfam family: c-di-GMP-I-GGC riboswitch aptamer
Source: Rfam by way of RNAcentral